AAAGGKUUGGUCCUGGCCUUAUAAUUAAUUGGAGGCAGAAUUACACAUGCAAAUCUCCCUUCCCCGGUGUCAAAUCCCUAAAUCUUUUAUUAAGCCCAAGGAGACGGUAUCAAGCACACAAACACAAGUAGCUAAAAACACCUUGCCCAGCCACACCCCCACGGGACCCAGCAGUGAUAAAAAUUAAGCAAUAAACGAAAGUUUGACUAAGUCAUGCCUCACUAAGGGUUGGUAAAUUUCGUGCCAGCCACCGCGGUCAUACGAUUAACCCAAACUAAUUAUUCUCGGCGUAAAACGUGUUAUAUUAAACCCAAAAGAAUAGAAUUAAAACCCAAUUAAUAUGUGAAAAUUCAUACUUGGACCUAAACUCAAUGACGAAAGUAAUUCUAGACUACCUAUACACGAUAGCUAAGACCCAAACUGGGAUUAGAUACCCCACUAUGCUUAGCCCUAAACCUAAAUAAUUAAAUAACAAAACUAUUUGCCUGAGAACUACUGGCCACAGCUUAAAACUCAAAGGACUUGGCGGUACUUUAUAUCCAUCUAGAGGAGCCUGUUCUAUAAUCGAUACACCCCGUUAUACCUCACCACCCCUUGCUAAUCCAGCCUAUAUACCGCCAUCUUCAGCAAACCUUAAAAAAGAAUAAAAGUAAGCAAGAGAAUACCCGUAAAAACGUUAGGUCAAGGUGUAGCUCAUGAGGUGGGAAGAAAUGGGCUACAUUUUCUUAUCAAGAACAUUACGCUACCCUUCAUGAAAUGGAAGGACAAAGGAGGAUUUAGUAGUAAAUUAAGAAUAGAGAGCUUAAUUGAAUAGAGCAAUGAAGUACGUACACACCGCCCGUCACCCUCUUCAAACUGAAUUGAACUUGUAACCAUACAUAAUAACAGCAACAAAUUCACAAGAAGAGAUAAGUCGUAACAAGGUAAG
Molecule: non-coding RNA, 928 nt
Filed under: Urocricetus kamensis (Tibetan dwarf hamster)
Lineage: Eukaryota; Metazoa; Chordata; Mammalia; Rodentia; Cricetidae
Description: partial 12S ribosomal RNA
Rfam family: Bacterial small subunit ribosomal RNA
Source: RNAcentral